UGGGGAAUAUUGGACAAUGGGCGAAAGCCUGAUCCAGCCAUGCCGCGUGUGUGAAGAAGGUCUUCGGAUUGUAAAGCACUUUAAGUUGGGAGGAAGGGCAGUAAGCGAAUACCUUGCUGUUUUGACGUUACCGACAGAAUAAGCACCGGCUAACUCUGUGCCAGCAGCCGCGGUAAUACAGAGGGUGCAAGCGUUAAUCGGAAUUACUGGGCGUAAAGCGCGCGUAGGUGGUUCGUUAAGUUGAAUGUUAAAGCCCCGGGCUCAACCUGGGAACUGCAUCCAAAACUGGCGAGCUAGAGUAGGGCAGAGGGUGGUGGAAUUUCCUGUGUAGCGGUGAAAUGCGUAGAUAUAGGAAGGAACACCAGUGGCGAAGGCGACCACCUGGGCUCAUACUGACACUGAGGUGCGAAAGCGUGGGGAGCAAACAGG
This 429-nucleotide ribosomal RNA is filed under the name Pseudomonadota bacterium. Its description in RNAcentral is "Proteobacteria bacterium partial 16S ribosomal RNA". It matches the Rfam family "Bacterial small subunit ribosomal RNA", at positions 355 to 776 of the family's 1533-position model. The record is from RNAcentral. Lineage: Bacteria; Pseudomonadati; Pseudomonadota.